AAAUUGAAGAGUUUGAUCAUGGCUCAGAUUGAACGCUGGCGGCAGGCCUAACACAUGCAAGUCGAACGGUAACAGGAAGCAGCUUGCUGCUUUGCUGACGAGUGGCGGACGGGUGAGUAAUGUCUGGGAAACUGCCUGAUGGAGGGGGAUAACUACUGGAAACGGUGGCUAAUACCGCAUAACGUCGCAAGACCAAAGAGGGGGACCUUCGGGCCUCUUGCCAUCAGAUGUGCCCAGAUGGGAUUAGCUAGUUGGUGAGGUAACGGCUCACCAAGGCGACGAUCCCUAGCUGGUCUGAGAGGAUGACCAGCCACACUGGAACUGAGACACGGUCCAGACUCCUACGGGAGGCAGCAGUGGGGAAUAUUGCACAAUGGGCGCAAGCCUGAUGCAGCCAUGCCGCGUGUAUGAAGAAGGCCUUCGGGUUGUAAAGUACUUUCAGCGGGGAGG
RNAcentral lists this ribosomal RNA (450 nucleotides) under Salmonella enterica subsp. enterica serovar Muenchen. Its description in RNAcentral is "bacterial SSU rRNA". It matches the Rfam family "Bacterial small subunit ribosomal RNA", at positions 1 to 447 of the family's 1533-position model. RNAcentral also lists the same sequence under 3 other names. Lineage: Bacteria; Pseudomonadati; Pseudomonadota; Gammaproteobacteria; Enterobacterales; Enterobacteriaceae. The record is from RNAcentral.